RNAcentral lists this transfer RNA (73 nucleotides) under Stegodyphus mimosarum. It matches the Rfam family "tRNA". From Rfam's summary of the family: Transfer RNA (tRNA) molecules are approximately 80 nucleotides in length. The record is from Rfam by way of RNAcentral. Lineage: Eukaryota; Metazoa; Arthropoda; Arachnida; Araneae; Eresidae.
GCCUUCGUGGUGUAGAGGUCAGCACGCUCGACGCGUAUUCGAGAGGUCCGUGGUUCGAGUCCCAGCUAGGGCA